GACGAACGCUGGCGGCGUGCUUAACACAUGCAAGUCGAACGGAAAGGCCCUGCUUUUGUGGGGUGCUCGAGUGGCGAACGGGUGAGUAACACGUGAGUAACCUGCCCUUGACUUUGGGAUAACUUCAGGAAACUGGGGCUAAUACCGGAUAGGAGCUCCUGCUGCAGGGUGGGGGUUGGAAAGUUUCGGCGGUUGGGGAUGGACUCGCGGCUUAUCAGCUUGUUGGUGGGGUAGUGGCUUACCAAGGCUUUGACGGGUAGCCGGCCUGAGAGGGUGACCGGCCACAUUGGGACUGAGAUACGGCCCAGACUCCUACGGGAGGCAGCAGUGGGGAAUAUUGCACAAUGGGCGGAAGCCUGAUGCAGCAACGCCGCGUGCGGGAUGACGGCCUUCGGGUUGUAAACCGCUUUCGCCUGUGACGAAGCGUGAGUGGCGGUAAUGGGUAAAGAAGCACCGGCUAACUACGUG
RNAcentral lists this ribosomal RNA (468 nucleotides) under uncultured bacterium. Its description in RNAcentral is "partial 16S ribosomal RNA". It matches the Rfam family "Bacterial small subunit ribosomal RNA", at positions 28 to 507 of the family's 1533-position model. The record is from RNAcentral.